RNAcentral lists this small RNA (1604 nucleotides) under Cryptococcus neoformans H99. RNAcentral's name for it is "Cryptococcus neoformans var. grubii H99 hypothetical RNA". Lineage: Eukaryota; Fungi; Basidiomycota; Tremellomycetes; Tremellales; Cryptococcaceae. The record is from RNAcentral.
CUCUUGCUCAAUCCCUGGAUCACAAAAAUCUCUUCGUUCGAGCCGCAGCCGCCUCACAGAUGAUGUUAGCAGUGAUGCCAAGAUUUUUCUCUUUACCUUCUCGGGCGUUCACGGUGUAAGUCGCCAGAAAGGACCUUCACGCUCUCACAUUACCUCUCAAACAUACCGGAAGCUUCCUACACUCUCCCAUGGACGUCCCAUGGCAUCCAACUAUCCGUUUGGGGGGUAUAUGUUCAUGUGGCUCCGACCGGAAUCGGAUAGAUAUGGCUCAACACCUGACUCGACAAAAGUCUUUUAUUGGUCGACUGUUGGGAACCGUGGAAGGAUCAGGUUGGGUUUACCUGCUGGCAUUCGUUCCGGCCUCGGCCAUAUCAUACCAACCCUUGACCCGAGUCGGUGGUCAAAUGUAGUCAACUGCAGCAAGCCGAUUCGAAGACGGAGCGGAGUUCGGCUUGGGUCGCCUGUGGAUCGGAAAGCGACAGGCGAGGAUGGGUUAUUUGGUACAGCACAGAGUCGAGAAAUGACAGGGAUAUUGGAUAAUUGCUCCCAUUGCCGUUCAAGGGCUUCUAAUCAAGCAAAAUGAAGGAAUGCCUCGGACCGGGGUGCGGUGUGUGAACUUUGGUUGUCCGCUGGUUGUCCCAAGCUAUCGUCGCCCUUCUCCCUUGCGAACCAACCCUCGAUGAAAAGAGAGAGGAAGAAGUCCGUAUACAUCGUUCUUUUCUAUACGGAGCGGUUAUUACCAAAUGAGCUCUUCUUUCGCUUCCUAUACUCGUCCGUGGGAGGGGAGAGAGAGGUGCUGAACUCUUGGCGCUCAAGCUUUCUGGAAAUCUCUUAUGACCUUCUGUUCUACAUAGGUAUAAGCUCUGCUGACAUUAGGCUUACAGUCGUCUUGCCACAUGCUCCGCAAUUCUCAAACUUAAACCGCCACCCAACAACGGUUGAUAAAUACUCAUUUCAUCAGCCGUCGAGCUCAUAAUUCCUCAAGCAGACUUAUCGACUGCCAUUUCCCAACUCCGGCGAUGGGCAUUUUUAUUAUACCUACUACCUCUUCCUAAUUUGACAUGCCUCACUUCACAACUUCUCGGCCCGAUCGAAGGUGUGUGCGAUGGACGACGUCACUGACUGUACCAUACGCAGAAUGAUCUUUUCAAUUAUCUGUCACUCGCCGUAUACAAGGUCUCUAUUGGGAGCGUAGAUGGUAUGAAUCAGGAGGGUAAUCGGAUAAUCGGUAAUUAGUAUAUCUAUCAUAUCUCUGCUCUCGUCGUGGACACCAGAAGCCCGACGAGCAGUUUGACAUCCAGAGGCUAUGGGUGACUUCAAUCUUGAAAUUUUACAACAUUUCCUUCUCUACUGGCGGCAACACGCUUAGUUUUCCCUGGUUUUCGUUUUAACGAUUGAACAGUUCUUCAUCCCACUUCCCACCUGCAGGUGGGCAUUGUGGUGUCCUUCCCAUGUCUCCGAAGUCUAACUCAUCUGUCGUCCGGCGGCUUUGGUGAGAUGUUAUGGAGGAAUGGGCGGGGCCCUGUAACAAUGUCGAUUUGCAGUUAUAUACUUGCUUCUAAACGUUCUGAUUGACUAUCUAUCAUAUGCAUACAUGACAAGCC